UAGGGAAUCUUCGGCAAUGGACGAAAGUCUGACCGAGCAACGCCGCGUGAGUGAAGAAGGUUUUCGGAUCGUAAAACUCUGUUGUUAGAGAAGAACAAGGACGUUAGUAACUGAACGUCCCCUGACGGUAUCUAACCAGAAAGCCACGGCUAACUACGUGCCAGCAGCCGCGGUAAUACGUAGGUGGCAAGCGUUGUCCGGAUUUAUUGGGCGUAAAGCGAGCGCAGGCGGUUUCUUAAGUCUGAUGUGAAAGCCCCCGGCUCAACCGGGGAGUGUCAUUGGAAACUGGGAGACUUGAGUGCAGAAGAGGAGGGUGGAAUUCCAUGUGUAGCGGUGAAAUGCGUAGAUAUAUGGAGGAACACCAGUGGCGAAGUCGGCUCUCUGGUCUGUAACUGACGCUGAGGCUCGAAAGCGUGGGGAGCAAACAGG
Molecule: ribosomal RNA, 429 nt
Filed under: Chloroflexota bacterium
Lineage: Bacteria; Bacillati; Chloroflexota
Description: Chloroflexi bacterium partial 16S ribosomal RNA
Rfam family: Bacterial small subunit ribosomal RNA
Source: RNAcentral